This 514-nucleotide ribosomal RNA is filed under the name uncultured bacterium. RNAcentral describes it as "bacterial SSU rRNA". It matches the Rfam family "Bacterial small subunit ribosomal RNA", at positions 28 to 533 of the family's 1533-position model. The record is from RNAcentral.
GAUGAACGCUAGCGGGAGGCUUAACACAUGCAAGUCGAGGGGCAGCAUAGGGUAGCAAUACUCUGAUGGCGACCGGCAAACGGGUGAGUAACGCGUAUGCAACCUACCCUGUACAGGGGGAUAACCCGGAGAAAUUCGGACUAAUAUCCCGUAAUAAUAUCCGGAGGCAUCUUUGGAUAUUUAAAGUUCCGACGGUACGGGAUGGGCAUGCGUAACAUUAGCUGGUUGGUAAGGUAACGGCUUACCAAGGCUAUGAUGUUUAGGGGUCCUGAGAGGGUGGUCCCCCACACUGGUACUGAGACACGGACCAGACUCCUACGGGAGGCAGCAGUGAGGAAUAUUGGUCAAUGGGCGCAAGCCUGAACCAGCCAUCCCGCGUGCAGGAAGACGGCCCUAUGGGUUGUAAACUGCUUUUCCAGGGAGAGAAACUUACGCACGUGUUGCGUGACUGACGGUACCCUGGGAAUAAGCAUCGGCUAACUCCGUGCCAGCAGCCGCGGUAAGCACGAGAGUA